GAAAAUUCUACAUUUAAUAAUCAUAUCCUAUGUGACAAAGUUACACUUUAGUUACAAAGCAUCACAGAGGACUUUAUGUCCUCCCACUUUUUUUUGUUGUUGUUUUUUUUGUUUUGUUUUUGUUGUCUAUAAAAUAUGGAUUUAAUAUAAAAUUGAAGAUCACAUCUCCUGACUCUAUACAGCUGGCUUUUGCUAAUGAGUUAAAACUUUCUUACCCUUAGCUCUUUUCAUUCAGAUCUUGGAAGAUAACAUGAUGGGCUUAUUUUUUAGCAGUGCUUAGUGUGGAAGGCUUACUCUAUAACUUCAGAGGCAGCUACUAAACAUAUCAAUUAAUGUGCACAUCUUAGGUCUGUAUUUUUCUGUGCCCUUCUAGCUGAUUUGUCCAGGCUGCAUUUUGUAUAUCUGCAAAGUUGUUUUUCAACAAUGAUGUGCAACCUGAUUCUCUGAACAACUACAGUGCAAAGGAUGUAGAUUAACAGGGAGUAUCAAUACACAGUUGUCACAUGUGCAGGUAUUUUCAAACAUAACUGCUGCCCUUGCACUCCUUGUUUGAAAAUUAUCUCAGAAAUCUGUACUAGUGUUUAUGAAAGAACUGUAGCACUUUUCAUUCAUUUUUUUUUUCUUUAAAUUUAUCCACAGAGCAGGACUAGACAGAUACUGAAAUAUUCAGCUUCUCUUGCUGCCUGAGAAGUUUUACAAAUACGUAACCCAGGCACAAGAGCUGUACAUUAUUUUUCUUAUAUCUCUGAAAUAUAUCACUUGCAGGAAUAAUGGAGAGGGAAUGGGAAAUGUGUUCUGCUUCAACUACCAACUCUAAUUCAGCUUUCCAGAGCUAUUGUUUUGAUACUGCACUGGGAUGGCACUGAGAUGUUGUGCCCUAGAAUCCUCAUCGAGAACAAUAGGCAUUACUGUGCUCCUUUACAGCUGGAUCAAUUCUCCAGUUCACCACAAAAACAGCUGGAUGUAACUGUGGGUAGCAACAAAUACAGAAGAUGGCUUGAUAGUGGGAGAAAGUGCCUGGCAAUAAGAUGAAGGCAGAACCUAAUAUUUUACCCAUCCUGUCACUGGGGACAAUUGAAUACACAAUUGCAUGAUAACAAACAACUUCAGAUUAUUUUGAUGCUCACCUCAGUAGCUGGGUACUGAAGAAAAUAAUCAGUUUCAGGUAAACAACAAGAAAAAAAUAAGUAAUCUCACUUCCUCUCUUAAACAUCAAUAAGACUGAAGAUGGAAAAGAAUAAAGAUUAAAGGGCUUUCUUUAUCA
RNAcentral lists this long non-coding RNA (1264 nucleotides) under Anas platyrhynchos platyrhynchos (common mallard). Its description in RNAcentral is "lncRNA (ENSAPLG00000025861.1)". Lineage: Eukaryota; Metazoa; Chordata; Aves; Anseriformes; Anatidae. The record is from RNAcentral.